Molecule: ribosomal RNA, 299 nt
Filed under: uncultured bacterium
Lineage: Bacteria
Description: partial 16S ribosomal RNA
Rfam family: Bacterial small subunit ribosomal RNA
Source: RNAcentral
GAUGAACGCUGGCGGCGUGCCUAAUACAUGCAAGUCGGACGGAGCGCUUCGGCGCUCAGUGGCGAACGGGUGAGUAGCACGUGAGCAAUCUGCCUUUAGGAGGGGGAUAACAGUCGGAAACGGCUGCUAAUACCGCAUAAUGCAUCAAUUUCGCAUGUUAUUGAUGCCAAAGGAGCAAUCCGCCUUUAGAUGAGCUCGCGUCUGAUUAGCUGGUUGGCGGGGUAACGGCCCACCAAGGCGACGAUCAGUAGCCGGACUGAGAGGUUGAACGGCCACAUUGGGACUGAGACACGGCCCAG